RNAcentral lists this ribosomal RNA (558 nucleotides) under uncultured bacterium. Its description in RNAcentral is "bacterial SSU rRNA". It matches the Rfam family "Bacterial small subunit ribosomal RNA", at positions 118 to 676 of the family's 1533-position model. The record is from RNAcentral.
CGUACAACCUCCGUUUACUCAGGGAUAGCCUUUCGAAAGAAAGAUUAAUACCUGAUAGUAUGGUGAGAUUGCAUGAUAGCACCAUUAAAGAUUUAUUGGUAAACGAUGGGGAUGCGUUCCAUUAGGUAGUAGGCGGGUAACGGCCCACCUAGCCGACGAUGGAUAGGGGUUCUGAGAGGAAGGUCCCCCACAUUGGAACUGAGACACGGUCCAAACUCCUACGGGAGGCAGCAGUGAGGAAUAUUGGUCAAUGGGCGAGAGCCUGAACCAGCCAAGUAGCGUGAAGGAUGAAGGUCCUACGGAUUGUAAACUUCUUUUAUACGGGAAUAAAGUAUCCUACGUGUAGGAUUUUGUAUGUACCGUAUGAAUAAGCAUCGGCUAACUCCGUGCCAGCAGCCGCGGUAAUACGGAGGAUGCGAGCGUUAUCCGGAUUUAUUGGGUUUAAAGGGAGCGCAGACGGGAGAUUAAGUCAGUUGUGAAAGUUUGCGGCUCAACCGUAAAAUUGCAGUUGAUACUGGUUUCCUUGAGUGCAGUUGAGGCAGGCGGGUCGACGCGGCC